RNAcentral lists this long non-coding RNA (330 nucleotides) under Trifolium pratense (red clover). RNAcentral describes it as "long non-coding RNA (TPRA_LNC003437)". The record is from RNAcentral. Lineage: Eukaryota; Viridiplantae; Streptophyta; Magnoliopsida; Fabales; Fabaceae.
UAUUUUUUCAAAACAAAAACAUAGAUAUAUAUGAUCCUUGCAAAAUCUCAUACAAAACCUAAAUAAUAAUUCAACCCGUGAUAUCAAAACAAUAGUAAGUACUACGAAUCAACUUAAAAAGUUUUCCACAACAUAAAACAUGAACCGAAAACAGAAAUAAAAAAUCAAAAACACCUCUUUUUUCUUCCCCAACAAAACGAUUUUCAACGGUAAGAUUUCUGGAACCUAGCACGAAGUGAAUUCAUUUGAGAAAAGAGGAAAAAUCAAAGAGAAGAAUGAAAGUUGGAAAAGAGGAACAAUGUUUAUGAUGAUCUAUUGUUAUGUGUUUUG